Molecule: long non-coding RNA, 2247 nt
Filed under: Pongo abelii (Sumatran orangutan)
Lineage: Eukaryota; Metazoa; Chordata; Mammalia; Primates; Hominidae
Description: lincRNA
Source: RNAcentral
AUAGGAGGAGGGGAGAGGAGAGGAAAGUGGGAGGAGAGGCUGCACUCUAAACAGCCCUCUUGCCUGAGCAAUCUGACACAGAGGCACAUGAGGAAUCAGCACGGAACCAUCGACCCACAGGGUUAAUCCCAAUGUCAAUACCUGCUAGAUGUCAGGGAUCCCCUGGGCUGCUGGCGAGCCAUUUGAAAUGACCCAUCUCCUGCUACCUUGGCCUGCUCCUCUGGGCCACCUCUCUCCACCUGCACUUGUUUACCCCUGGAGGGCUCGGGUCUGCCAUCACCUGCCUCUCAAGAAACCUGUGCCUCCAGCAGCCACCGGGAUCCACCGGGAUCCACCAGGACUGUGACCCUCCUGCCAAGAAGAUCCAGGAAAGCCUGCUGGCCACUGUGGAUGAGAGGCAAGCUCCCACCUGCAGGGUGUUCACUUGUGGCUCCUUCCAAUAAGUCAAGCAAGAUGGAAACAUUCGAGUGAUGCAAGGCGCGCUACUUGGGGAAAGAGACUCUGAUAUGCCACAUCAGUGAGGACCACCAGGAAAGACGAUUCCUUUCCAAAUUCCAAGCCUCAACAAAAGCGACCACAGCAGUCCAGACUCCUGUCUCUAAUCCCUACCUCCCUAUGUGGACAAAGAGUGGGGCUCUCUUGGCCUGAGCUCAUGGGGUUUCACGUCAGCCCAGCAGGACAGAAUGCAUCCCUCCUGACAGCCAGGCACAGGCUGGGGACCAGAGGGACCCAGCUGGCUCCACAGGGCAGGGCUGACACAGGGCCAGGGGAGGGUUGUGGCGGCCCACACUGCAUGUCUCUACAAGGUGAAGGAACUCCUCGUGUUGGCUGCUGAGCUGAGAGGUCACAGCUCUGCCUCACAGCACCCUGGCCAAGUUUUCCAUGAAAUCAUCCAAAGCCAACAGGAGUUCCGGGAACCGUCCGUCUGUAGCUGCAGCUUCCUCCCUGGCUGUGGGAAUCUUCAGAUCCCUUGGGCCUGGGCUAAGUCCACUCUCCACACAUGUAGGGGAAACAUGCCAGAGGGCCAGCCCUUGUUCCCAGACACGGCCCUGGCCCCUAGCAAGCCUGCUCGGACAAAGGGGGAUGGUUACAGCAGACCUACCUAGCUGGCUAAUGUCUCCCUAGUAGCCAAUUGCAGCAUUCACUGAGGGACUAGGCAGUCAUGCAGAGGCCAAGCUCUAAAGGGCACCCACCCCAGCCUGUCCCCCAACAACCCAGACACACAGACCCACAGCUACAUCCCUGUGCAAAUGCCAUAAUCCCAGCUUGGCUGCACGAACAUGCGCACCUCUCCCAUCCAUGGCAGCGGGCCCAAAGGGCAGGCAACAGGCAGAAAGCAGCUGGACACUAGGGGUAAGCUGAGGAAGACCAGCCCUCGGCCCCUUCCUCUCUGCACAGAGUGGUGGGGAGACAAGGAGGAGCCAGGGGUACUGACCCGGGCCUAAGGAACACCUGACCCAUCAGCACAGAACAGAGAUGAGAAAUGGGCCCCGUUUCCAUCCCCCAAAUCCUUCAGGAUGACCACUGAAGCUGCAAAAAAUCAAUUUUCUGCAGCUUCUUCGGAAGCCAGGAUUGUGUGUGUGUGUGUGUGUGUGUGUGUGUGUGGUGUGUGUGUGUGUGUGUGUGUGUGUGUGUGUGUGUGUGUGUGUGUGUGUGUGUGUGCGCGCAGAGCUAUUGGCUCAGCUGUUUCCCAUCAGCUUCCUGCGUGCUUCCAGGCAGAGCACAGCCCACUGCCUCCCUCUCCUCCUUCCACCCCCCAUGCUCAAACCCACACCCAAGGUAGACCCCUGGGAAAAGCAGAGGGUCUUGACUUGGGAAAAUCAAGCCAUGUGUCAGGAGUUCACCCUGGAUAUCACCACCUCAUGUUUCCAGAGUCCCCAAUCACUUGCAAAGGACUUCACACAUGCCCCAGCUAGGAGACAAGGCUAAAGCCUGCUGAGUCAGAGGACGAGAGAGAGAGAGAGAGAGAGAGAGAGAAAGAAAGGGCAGGACAUAAGAGCCGCUGGACCCCAGAUUCACAGGGCACAAAUGCAAUCUCUAGGUGGUAACAUCAGAGCCACCGCUUCUCAGUGUCAGUCCGUAUUUACCAAGUGCCGACUGCCCGGGACCCUGUGCCAGAGCUGCACCCCAACUCCAUCCAGCCCGAGCUUCAUGAUAAUAACAUUAUUCUUUCCAACUUUGGGCUGAUUGGGGUUUAUAAGGGCUCCCACUUCACUUUUUACCAAAAGAAAAUAUCUUUCCUUUGCA